RNAcentral lists this ribosomal RNA (254 nucleotides) under uncultured bacterium. RNAcentral's name for it is "partial 16S ribosomal RNA". It matches the Rfam family "Bacterial small subunit ribosomal RNA", at positions 524 to 776 of the family's 1533-position model. The record is from RNAcentral.
UACGUAGGGUGCAAGCGUUGUCCGGAAUUAUUGGGCGUAAAGAGCUCGUAGGCGGUCUGUCACGUCGGCUGUGAAAACCCGAGGCUCAACCUCGGGCCUGCAGUCGAUACGGGCAAACUAGAGUACUGCAGGGGAGACUGGAAUUCCUGGUGUAGCGGUGAAAUGCGCAGAUAUCAGGAGGAACACCGGUGGCGAAGGCGGGUCUCUGGGCAGUAACUGACGCUGGAGGAGCGAAAGCGUGGGGAGCGAACAGG